UACGAAGGGUGCAAGCGUUAAUCGGAAUUACUGGGCGUAAAGCGUGCGUAGGCGGUUUGUUAAGUCAGAUGUGAAAGCCCCGGGCUCAACCUGGGAACUGCAUUUGAUACUGGCAGGCUAGAGUGCGGUAGAGGGUGGUGGAAUUCCCGGUGUAGCGGUGAAAUGCGUAGAGAUCGGGAGGAACAUCCGUGGCGAAGGCGGCCACCUGGACCAGCACUGACGCUGAGGCACGAAAGCGUGGGGAGCAAACAGGAUUAGAUACCCUGGUAGUCCACGCCCUAAACGAUGCGAACUGGACGUUGGUCUCACUUUGGAGAUCAGUGUCGAAGCUAACGCGUUAAGUUCGCCGCCUGGGGAGUACGGUCGCAAGACUGAA
RNAcentral lists this ribosomal RNA (376 nucleotides) under uncultured bacterium. Its description in RNAcentral is "bacterial SSU rRNA". It matches the Rfam family "Bacterial small subunit ribosomal RNA", at positions 524 to 898 of the family's 1533-position model. The record is from RNAcentral.